RNAcentral lists this ribosomal RNA (253 nucleotides) under uncultured bacterium. RNAcentral describes it as "partial 16S ribosomal RNA". It matches the Rfam family "Bacterial small subunit ribosomal RNA", at positions 524 to 776 of the family's 1533-position model. The record is from RNAcentral.
UACGAAGGGUGCAAGCGUUAAUCGGAAUUACUGGGCGUAAAGCGCGCGUAGGUGGUUCAGUAAGUUGGGAGUGAAAGCCCCGGGCUCAACCUGGGAAUUGCUCUCAAAACUGCUGGGCUAGAGUAUGGCAGAGGGUGGUGGAAUUUCCUGUGUAGCGGUGAAAUGCGUAGAUAUAGGAAGGAACACCAGUGGCGAAGGCGACCACCUGGGCUAAUACUGACACUGAGGUGCGAAAGCGUGGGGAGCAAACAGG